Molecule: ribosomal RNA, 111 nt
Filed under: Lepisosteus oculatus (spotted gar)
Lineage: Eukaryota; Metazoa; Chordata; Actinopteri; Semionotiformes; Lepisosteidae
Source: RNAcentral
GCCAGCAGCCAUAUCACUCUGCAACUCACAACUGACAGCCCACUGAAGAUGUGAGCCUGGUCAGUACCUGGAUGGGAGACCUCCUGGGAAAAACUAAGGUUGCUGCUGGAA